RNAcentral lists this ribosomal RNA (402 nucleotides) under uncultured bacterium. Its description in RNAcentral is "bacterial SSU rRNA". It matches the Rfam family "Bacterial small subunit ribosomal RNA", at positions 355 to 774 of the family's 1533-position model. The record is from RNAcentral.
UAGGGAAUAUUGGUAAUGUGCGAAAGCGCGAACCAGCAACGCCGCGUGCACGAUGAAGGCCUUCGGGUUGUAAAGUGCUUUUAGGGAGGAUGAGGAAGGACAGUACUUUCUGAAUAAGCCUCGGCUAACUACGUGCCAGCAGCCGCGGUAAAACGUAGGAGGCUAGCGUUAUCCGGAUUUACUGGGUGUAAAGGGUGCUCAGGCGGAUUUGUAAGUCAGAGGUGAAAUCUUACAGCUUAACUGUGAAACUGCCUUUGAUACUGCAAGCGUAGAGUAGGGAAGAGAGUGAUGGAAUAUCUGGAGGAGCAGUGAAAUGCGUAGAUAUAAGAUAGAACACCAAUGGCGAAGGAGGUCACUUGGUCGAUUACUGACGCUAAAGCACGAAAGCGUGGGUAGCAAACA